CCUACGGGAGGCUGCAGUGGGGAAUCUUGCACAAUGGGGGGAACCCUGAUGCAGCGACGCCGCGUGAGUGAAGAAGUAUUUCGGUAUGUAAAGCUCUAUCAGCAGGGAAGAAAAUGACGGUAACUGACUAAGAAGCCCCGGCUAACUACGUGCCAGCAGCCGCGGUAAUACGUAGGGGGAAAGCGUUCUCCGGUUUUACUGGGUGUAAAGGGAGCGUAGACGGUUAUGCAAGUCUGAAGUGAAAGCCCAUGGCUCAACCAUGGGAGUGCGUUGGAAACUGUAAAACUGGAGUGCAGGAGAGGUAAGCGGAAUUCCGAGUGUAGCGGUGAAAUGCGUAGAUAUUAGGAGGAACACCAGUGGCGAAGGCGGCUUACUGGACUGUAACUGACGUUGAGGCUCGAAGGCGUGGGGAGCAAACAGGAUUAGAUACCCGAGUAGUC
RNAcentral lists this ribosomal RNA (440 nucleotides) under uncultured bacterium. Its description in RNAcentral is "partial 16S ribosomal RNA". It matches the Rfam family "Bacterial small subunit ribosomal RNA", at positions 338 to 795 of the family's 1533-position model. The record is from RNAcentral.